GGGGGGGACUGUCGCUGGCUCCGGAGCGAUCCGGAGCAUGUGCACGUCUCUUUUCUUACAACACACCCCUGUGCACACAUUGUAGGCCCUCGAGAGAGGGACUAUGUUUUUCCACAUCGCACACAUCUUUAUGUAUGUAACAUUGUAUGGCCAUAGAAGGUAUCUAGACUGUCGCUCGACCUCCGGGUCGGGUCAUGGUCUAACGAAUAUUACAACUUUCAGCAACGGAUCUCUUGGCUCUCGCAUCGAUGAAGAACGCAGCGAAUUGCGAUAAGUAAUGUGAAUUGCAGAUUUUCAGUGAAUCAUCGAAUCUUUGAACGCACCUUGCGCUCCUCGGUAUUCCGAGGAGCAUGCCUGUUUGAGUGUUAUUUAAUUCUCAACCAUGUCCUUGUAACGAGGCUUGGCUUGGACUUGGGGGUUGCUGGUGGCAAUGGCCGUCGGCUCUCCUGAAAUGCAUUAGCAAAGGGCAGCAAGUCUGUGGCGUGGCACGGCCUUUUCGACGUGAUAAUGAUCGUCGUGGGCUGGAAGCGCCGGACAUGCAUCGAUUGUCUUGUUUGCUUCCAAAUCACCUUCGAUUGGACUCGGAACUCGACCCGGGGUUGGCUUAGCUAUUAGUUGGUCGUGAGGCCGACGAACGCGGUCGACUUUGGCAAAGGUUGGGUUGGCUUAGCUAUUAGUCGGUCGUGAGGCCGACGAACGCAGGCCGACUUGGCUUCGAGCAUUCGUGGUCUGGCUAUCGAAACUACCG
RNAcentral lists this ribosomal RNA (748 nucleotides) under uncultured Xerocomus. RNAcentral describes it as "eukaryotic LSU rRNA". The stretch from base 214 to 368 matches the Rfam family "5.8S ribosomal RNA". The record is from RNAcentral. Lineage: Eukaryota; Fungi; Basidiomycota; Agaricomycetes; Boletales; Boletaceae.